UGGGGAAUUUUGGACAAUGGGCGAAAGCCUGAUCCAGCAAUGCCGCGUGUGUGAAGAAGGCCUUCGGGUUGUAAAGCACUUUUGUCCGGAAAGAAAUCCUUGGCUCUAAUACAGUCGGGGGAUGACGGUACCGGAAGAAUAAGCACCGGCUAACUACGUGCCAGCAGCCGCGGUAAUACGUAGGGUGCAAGCGUUAAUCGGAAUUACUGGGCGUAAAGCGUGCGCAGGCGGUUUGCUAAGACCGAUGUGAAAUCCCCGGGCUCAGCCUGGGAACUGCAUUGGUGACUGGCAGGCUAGAGUAUGGCAGAGGGGGGUAGAAUUCCACGUGUAGCAGUGAAAUGCGUAGAGAUGUGGAGGAAUACCGAUGGCGAAGGCAGCCCCCUGGGCCAAUACUGACGCUCAUGCACGAAAGCGUGGGGAGCAAACAGGAUUAGAUACCCUGGUAGUCCACGCCCUAAACGAUGUCAACUAGUUGUUGGGGAUUCAUUUUCCUUAGUAACGUAGCUAACGCGUGAAGUUGACCGCCUGGGGAGUACGGUCGCAAGAUUAAAACUCAAAGGAAUUGACGGGGUCAUAGCUG
This 580-nucleotide ribosomal RNA is filed under the name uncultured bacterium. RNAcentral's name for it is "partial 16S ribosomal RNA". It matches the Rfam family "Bacterial small subunit ribosomal RNA", at positions 355 to 932 of the family's 1533-position model. The record is from RNAcentral.